CUGAGAGGAUGACCAGCCACACUGGAACUGAGACACGGUCCAGACUCCUACGGGAGGCAGCAGUGGGGAAUAUUGCACAAUGGGCGCAAGCCUGAUGCAGCCAUGCCGCGUGUAUGAAGAAGGCCUUCGGGUUGUAAAGUACUUUCAGCGGGGAGGAAGGGAGUAAAGUUAAUACCUUUGCUCAUUGACGUUACCCGCAGAAGAAGCACCGGCUAACUCCGUGCCAGCAGCCGCGGUAAUACGGAGGGUGCAAGCGUUAAUCGGAAUUACUGGGCGUAAAGCGCACGCAGGCGGUUUGUUAAGUCAGAUGUGAAAUCCCCGGGCUCAACCUGGGAACUGCAUCUGAUACUGGCAAGCUUGAGUCUCGUAGAGGGGGGUAGAAUUCCAGGUGUAGCGGUGAAAUGCGUAGAGAUCUGGAGGAAUACCGGUGGCGAAGGCGGCCCCCUGGACGAAGACUGACGCUCAGGUGCGAAAGCGUGGGGA
Molecule: ribosomal RNA, 483 nt
Filed under: Escherichia coli
Lineage: Bacteria; Pseudomonadati; Pseudomonadota; Gammaproteobacteria; Enterobacterales; Enterobacteriaceae
Description: bacterial SSU rRNA
Rfam family: Bacterial small subunit ribosomal RNA
Source: RNAcentral